CAGACUCCUACGGGAGGCAGCAGUGGGGAAUAUUGCACAAUGGGCGCAAGCCUGAUGCAGCCAUGCCGCGUGUAUGAAGAAGGCCUUCGGGUUGUAAAGUACUUUCAGCGAGGAGGAAGGCAUUAAGGUUAAUAACCUUGGUGAUUGACGUUACUCGCAGAAGAAGCACCGGCUAACUCCGUGCCAGCAGCCGCGGUAAUACG
RNAcentral lists this ribosomal RNA (203 nucleotides) under uncultured Enterococcus sp. Its description in RNAcentral is "partial 16S ribosomal RNA". It matches the Rfam family "Bacterial small subunit ribosomal RNA", at positions 332 to 527 of the family's 1533-position model. Lineage: Bacteria; Bacillati; Bacillota; Bacilli; Lactobacillales; Enterococcaceae. The record is from RNAcentral.